GCUUACGGCCAUACCAGCCUGGGUACGCCCGAUCUUGUCUGAUCUCGGAAGCUAAGCAGGGUCGGGCCUGGUUAGUACUUGGAUGGGGAGACAGCCUGGGAAUACCAGGUGCUGUAAGCA
RNAcentral lists this ribosomal RNA (120 nucleotides) under Salmo salar (Atlantic salmon). The record is from RNAcentral. Lineage: Eukaryota; Metazoa; Chordata; Actinopteri; Salmoniformes; Salmonidae.